AUACGUAGGUGGCGAGCGUUGUCCGGAUUUAUUGGGCGUAAAGGGUGCGUAGGCGGAUGUUUAAGUGAGAUGUGAAAUCCCCGGGCUUAACCUGGAGGCUGCAUUUCAAACUGGAUAUCUAGAGUGCAGGAGAGGAGAAUGGAAUUCCUAGUGUAGCGGUGAAAAGCGUAGAGAUUAGGAAGAACACCAGUGGCGAAGGCGAUUCUCUGGACUGUAACUGACGCUGAGGCACGAAAGCGUGGGUAGCAAACAGGAUUAGAUACCCUGGUAGUCCACGCCGUAAACGAUGAGUACUAGGUGUAGGAGGUAUCGACCCCUUCUGUGCCGCAGUUAAUACAAUAAGUACUCCACCUGGGAAGUACGACCGCAAGGUUGAA
RNAcentral lists this ribosomal RNA (377 nucleotides) under uncultured bacterium. RNAcentral's name for it is "bacterial SSU rRNA". It matches the Rfam family "Bacterial small subunit ribosomal RNA", at positions 523 to 898 of the family's 1533-position model. The record is from RNAcentral.